This 509-nucleotide ribosomal RNA is filed under the name Hylarana erythraea (green paddy frog). Its description in RNAcentral is "partial 12S ribosomal RNA". It matches the Rfam family "Bacterial small subunit ribosomal RNA", at positions 838 to 1533 of the family's 1533-position model. The record is from RNAcentral. Lineage: Eukaryota; Metazoa; Chordata; Amphibia; Anura; Ranidae.
GCCCACCGUAAAAAAUUAACUUACAACAACCGGCGCCAGGGAAUUACGAGCGAUGCUUAAAACCCAAAGGACUUGACGGUGUUCCACCCCCCUAGAGGAGCCUGUUUUGUAAUCGAUGAUCCCCGCUACACCCCACCAUUUCUAGCUCUUCAGCCUGUAUACCUCCGUCGAAAGCCUACCAUGUGAACGUAUUUCAGUAGGCCCAAUGACCCCCGUCAAUAUGUCAGGUCAAGGUGCAGCUCACGAAAUGGCAGCUAAUGGGCUACAAUUUCUAGUUUAGAACAAACGAAAUACUAUGUGAAAUCAUAGUCAUGAAGGCGGAUUUAGCAGUAAAAAGAAAAUAGAGAGUUCUUUUUAACCCGGCCCUGGAACGUGUACAAACCGCCCGUCACCCUCUUCGAUAAAACUUCUCCCAGUAUAUAACCCCACACUCCUACUUUAGAAGAGGCAAGUCGUAACAUGGUAAGUGUACUGGAAGGUGCAUUGGACUACUACAAAAUGUAGCUUAA